Castor canadensis (American beaver) is the source of this 1382-nucleotide non-coding RNA. Lineage: Eukaryota; Metazoa; Chordata; Mammalia; Rodentia; Castoridae. The record is from RefSeq and is a predicted model, not a curated record.
CCACGGAGCCCUUCAGCAAAUUGGAAACAAGGUCACACACCACCCUUACUCUACCACUUGCACUGUGCAGCCCUCUGAGCCCCAUGGAGGAGCACCAGCCUGAACUCUGGAAUGAAAAGCUGUCUUAGCCCACGCCCUUGCUAUGGUGUGGAGGGACCUUUAGAUUUCCUCUUCAGAGCCUCUCAGUGCUCAGGUUUCUUCAAAUUCCCACCAGGCUCUGCAGACCCUUGUUGCCCACUUUUGGGGGACGAUUAGCUAGAAGGUUCUUUUUCACUCAGGGGCUUCCCCCAGGCCUGCUUUUGAUUUAGAAUCCCUUCCAUCCCCUUCCAAACUGAGCUCCUCAGAGCCCUAAUCCCUGUGCGCCUGACAGGGGCAGCAGGUUCUGAGACAAGGGGCUUAUGGGAAGCAGGAAUGUCCCAACAUUCUUGCUGGAGCCCUCCAUGCAAUACCCAAGGAGUGACUUGGAGGCGGAAUUGACAGGAUGCAGGGCUGGGGAGAGAAGAGGUGGCAGGAGAUAUUUCUCAGGCCCUGUGAUCAUCCUGCUUAGGAGUCUAGUGCAGUUUGUGACCACUUACUCAUUCCAUUGUCCUGUUGUUUUUAUUUUAUUUUUUUAUUGACAGUGUCUCACUGUGUAGCCCAGGUUGACCUCAAACUUGCAAUGAUUUCAGUGCAGAGAGAUGUCCAAACCUGUGUCCAUUUCCUGCCCUGGGCAACAUGUGGGUGUUGGUGAAAGAUCAGGUGGAACCUGACACUGAGGAACCAGACCUUCUGCUUAAUUCUCGGAACCUGGCCCCAUUGUCUCCCCUCCCUAUCCCAGAAAUUACAGCCUCCUGAGCCCUUCGGCCCUCACCGUGGCAUGACUUGGAUGCAGAGGCUGUGAGACGGUUAGUCCCUGACUGUGCUGGGAAGGCCAGCAUGGAAACACUGGAAAAAUGUGUAGGCAAGGAGAGGCGAGAUUCUGAACAGGCUCUGGCCCACCUUCUCCAGAAACUUGCCACGUGACUCUCAGUAGCUAUUAACUGCUGCCUGAGCCUGAGUUACCUCACCUGAAAAUCCAAAGGAGGACUUUGAGAUCUUCAGAACCCUGAUGAAUGUGCAUUUAGAAGGUGGGGAAGGGGCUGAUGUCUGGGAGAUGGGGGCAGGUGCUGGUGGGGUGUCCAUUAAAGAGUUGUGAUGACAUUGAGGUUAUAUCUGUGCUUGGCUCGUGUCAUUGAUGUCAGAUGUCCUACCUGGUUGAAACUGAGUGUUUGAAAUGUGCAUUAAGCCUUCCCCAGAGACACAAUGUUUAACAAGGACACAAUUUGUUUGAUUGCCAGGCAUUGUCUAUAUUGUUUUUAAAAACAACUUUAAUUCACACGCCAUAUUUUCACCCAUUUAAAGUG